GACGAACGCUGGCGGCGUGCUUAACACAUGCAAGUCGAACGGAAAGGCCCUGCUUUUGUGGGGUGCUCGAGUGGCGAACGGGUGAGUAACACGUGAGUAACCUGCCCUUGACUUUGGGAUAACUUCAGGAAACUGGGGCUAAUACCGGAUAGGAGCUCCCGCUGCAUGGUGGGGGUUGGAAAGUUUCGGCGGUUGGGGAUGGACUCGCGGCUUAUCAGCUUGUUGGUUGGGGAGUGGCUUACCCAGGCUUUGACCGGUAGCCGGCCUGAGAGGGUGACCGGCCACAUUGGGACUGAGAGACGGCCCAGACUCCUACGGGAGGCAGCAGUGGGGAAUAUUGCACAAUGGGAGGAAGUCUGAUGCAGCAACGCCGCGGGCGGGAUGACGGCCUGCGGGGUGUAAACCGCUUUCGCCUGUGACGAAGCGUGAGUGACGGUAAUGGGUAAAGAAGCACCGGCUAACUACGUG
This 468-nucleotide ribosomal RNA is filed under the name uncultured bacterium. RNAcentral describes it as "partial 16S ribosomal RNA". It matches the Rfam family "Bacterial small subunit ribosomal RNA", at positions 28 to 507 of the family's 1533-position model. The record is from RNAcentral.